GAUGAAGAACGCAGCAAAAUGCGAUAAGUAGUGUGAAUUGCAGAAUUCAGUGAAUCAUCGAAUCUUUGAACGCACAUUGCGCCCUCUGGUAUUCCGGAGGGCAUGCCUGUUCGAGCGUCAUUAUCACCCCUCAAGCCCGGCUUGUUGUUGGAUGCAGCGCUUAUCCCGCUCCUCCCAAAGAUAAUGACGGCGUCUGCGACGACUCCUGUACACUGAGCUUUCGGGCACGUACACGGCUAGAAGUCCAGACCCGGUCGCCGUCCCCCCCGCGGGGACACCCAUUACCACAAGGUUGACCUCGGAUCAGGUAGGAAUACCCGCUGAACUUAAGCAUAUCAAUAAGCGGAGGA
This 350-nucleotide unclassified non-coding RNA is filed under the name soil metagenome. Its description in RNAcentral is "partial contains 5.8S ribosomal RNA, internal transcribed spacer 2, and large subunit ribosomal RNA". The stretch from base 1 to 120 matches the Rfam family "5.8S ribosomal RNA", at positions 35 to 154 of the family's 154-position model. The record is from RNAcentral.